This 253-nucleotide ribosomal RNA is filed under the name uncultured bacterium. RNAcentral describes it as "partial 16S ribosomal RNA". It matches the Rfam family "Bacterial small subunit ribosomal RNA", at positions 524 to 776 of the family's 1533-position model. The record is from RNAcentral.
UACAGAGGGUGCAAGCGUUGUCCGGAUUUAUUGGGCGUAAAGAGCGUGUAGGCGGCCAAGCAGGUCAGCUGUGAAAACUCGAGGCUCAACCUCGAGACGUCGGUUGAAACCGCUUGGCUAGAGUCCGGAAGAGGAGAGUGGGAUUCCCGGUGUAGCGGUGAAAUGCGCAGAUAUCGGGAAGAACACCCGUGGCGAAGGCGGCUCUCUGGGACGGUACUGACGCUGAGACGCGAGAGCGUGGGGAGCGAACAGG